CACUGAGAAGCCCGGAAAUUGGGUGCCUGACCGCAUUUCUGGUCUUCUGAGAAACUUCCAGACUCUGAGCGCCUGAGCAGAAGUGCCUAAGAUUAUUGUUCAGCUCCUGCGUGUGAUGAUCGUCUCAGGCAGGCCACGCACCUGUGUGGAGGGCUGCCACGUAGGGCUGAAGAUUCCUUGAGAGAGGAGCGGACGUGCAAGGAUUCGGCGCCAGGCUCUGCGUGUGCCGUUCGCAAGUUCCGGUUCUGCUCGGGGCUCCUGUAGCAGAAACCGUAGAAGGUAUUCCCCCAAAUAGGUUCCUGAUGGGAUGUGCCUCACGGAAAUGAGCAAAGGGACAAGAGGUGAGUGUUUGAGCCCCGCCCAGAAACUGGUGCCCAGGGUUCUUGUCUCUGGCAGACCACCUCCGACCCGGAGAGCGCCUUCUACACAUUCCAGCAACAUCGUUUAGUUUCUAAAUGAGACUAAAGUUUCUUGGGAAAGCAUGUGGGAAGCCACUUUUUUUUUGGGGGGGGGGGGUUGAGAUGCAUUUGUUAACUUUACUGGAGAGGAGUCAGAUACAUGGAUAUCUGUUGCUGAUAAGGGGGAACAUUUUGAAGAGUAGAUUAGAAAGGAGGACUUUCUUGUUACUGAAAAGUAUCUGCUUCGACCACUGACUAUUUGAAGAGCGUUCUUUUCCCGGACAAAUGUAAUCAUUUACUUAGCAGGGGAACAAGAAAGCCUUUGUAUUUAAAUAGGAAAGUCACCAAGGACACCCAUUAUUUUUGACAUCAAAACUGAGCGACGAGGCAGGAAAAAUCCAGAUUAUCGUGAUGACAGGGAAGAUGUGAUCCAAUGUGUUCGUUUGCUUGAAGGAGGCAGGACAACAUGAGAAUUCAGCAGCGCGGCUGGACAGGAUUUAGAAUUUACAAUUUAUUUAUAAACAGUGGCUUUCCUGCGUCCGGGAGGCAGGUGGAACCGAGUGAUGCCACAUGACCCAAACUCCGUGUUCCUCUGCUUCCCCACGUGUGAACUGAUCCCGCUACCCUCAGAGGUUCCAGGGAGUCACUAUAGUUUGACUCCCUCAGUACCCAAUCCCAGGCUCAUCCCUCCAGCCUCCCUGUUUUUUUUGGAUUUGCGAGUGUCCAUACUUUCACAGACUUCCUUGGAGGUAGGGUGGCUAUUUGACGUGAGUCUGGCCAGAGAGAUGGACAAACUCAUAGAUGUCUCCCGGGUUCCUUUCUUCCUGCCUUAAAAAUGGGUGUAAUCCUGGAACUGUGGCACCCGUCUGGCAAGGAGAGAAGAGGUCAAUGUCAGCAACGGCUUACCGCGUCUCUGAGCUUCGCGAAUGUGCAGAAGACAGAUCCGGGUUCGCUUAAGCUACAGCUGGAAUGGCCGAAUCCUGGGUGUGAACAGAGGCAAGAGUCUGUGAUUGAGAGUGCGCGUCCACAGCCUGCUGUGCGACCUUGGGCAAAUCACUUGACGUCUCUGGGCCUCAGUUGCUCCAUAUGUAAGUUCGAUGUGAGCUCCUAUUACCUUGAAUAAGACAAUAUUGUGGUAAUUUUUGCCCAAUUAUCCGAUCAGUAAAGCAUUUGACAAGCCUGACCUGAUUAACAGGUUACGGAGAGCCUUCUAGCUGUCGGAGGAUGGGUGGAUGGUAGAGGGGCCCAGGGAGAAAAUGGCAGCCCCUGAAACCCAUCCCAUUCCAUCCUCACUGACUGGGCCCCAGCCAGCUUCCCCUCCGCGUGACCCUGUCCCAACCUGCCCGUUCCGCACACAGGACGAUGCUGCUUCACGAAGCUUCUCUGCCUUGGCGGCUUCUCAGUACACUCAGGGGAGAAGCCACGUGCUAACCGUGGUCCAUGGGGGUCUACGAAGCCCACCCACUUCUGUCUCUUCGUCUCACACCUCUCUUCUUGUUCCCAAGGUGCCACAAACAGCUAAUCUUCCUUCAGUUUUGUUUUGUUUUGUUUUUUACUAUGUUACUCUCUCUCCCACCCCAGGGCCUUUGCCUAUGCUGUUUCCGCUACCCAAUGUUUGGUCCGGCCUUCUUUCUCUUUCAUCAGAUCCAGCUUCAGUAUCAUCCUCAAUAAGAGACGGGGGUGUGCAGCCCACAUCCUUUCCCGUUUGUACUUCUUGGGGUGGUAGCACCCCAAAUUCCCUCUGUGGAAGCAUCCCUCCCACACUCCACGGAGCUCACGCGGGGAAGCCACGCCAGGUCCAACAAAUAGAAAGCUGUGAAAGUCUUUCCUUUAGUUUUCCCGGGGGAAGAGCCCUUCGGGCCUCCUAGCAAUGGGGUGGGAAUAGCGGCAUCGUGGCCACACAGGCGGAGCGCUGAGGAAUAAAUGUGACCUUGUGCCCAGGCUUCCAGUAGGUCCUCACACACCCACACCUUCCUGUAACUGAUCCGAGCCUCCUGGCACCUGCACAUGGAAACUGAGCCCCUUUUGAGGGAUCUGGCACCUGCGGGCCCCUGUGGGGCGGCCGCCUCGGCUCCGCAAGGCCAGCCCCUCUCAACGUUCAGUUUGCCCUCAGCCUCCAGUGGGUGGUUCCUCUCCCGCCCCCUUUGUCCCUCUUGCCGUUUCCCUGGAGGUGGAGAGAGGAGAAGAGCCGACUUAAGGAGAAUGACUGCCCAUCACCACAUCCAGCCACAGGUUGGUCCCCCAGAAGCGCUCGGUCUUCUCCUCUCGGGAGGUGACCACAACCUUUUCCCGCGGUCCUCAGACCUCCUCCCUCAUCCCCUCCCUGCUCAGACCCAGGAAGUGACCUCAUGUGCUCCAGUCUCCAGAGGAAAGACCAAUAACCACCCUCCAUUUCCGGCCCCUUUCUGCAAGCCAGGAACACCAACUCUGCUUAAUCUACGUGGGAAGGAUGUUACUGAAAGGAUGUUGAGUAGCUCACGGGUUCUACAGCGAGACUGCAGGGCAACAGUUCGUCUUAGAGGAGCCAAAACCAAUGCCUGGUCAAGGGACAGAGCCGGCGCCGACUCUGGGCACAGACACUGCUGUUUCCAUCACUAACCCUUCCGGUCCUGGAUCUCGGACACUUCUGCUGAAAUCACAGACGAUGCGUCAUUACCACGCCCACCAGAAUGCUGUCGCUAUAGUACCUGCUUUUUUUUUUUAAUUUUUUUUUACGUUUAUUUAUUUUUGAGACAGAGAGAGAGAGCAUGAACA
Long non-coding RNA from Lynx canadensis (Canada lynx), 3152 nucleotides. RefSeq lists it as uncharacterized. NCBI's taxonomy places the organism in Eukaryota, Metazoa, Chordata, Mammalia, Carnivora, Felidae. The record is from RefSeq and is a predicted model, not a curated record. The transcript is spliced from 4 exons.